GCCAACCAAGGCUCCCGCCCAUUGGGGCAAGGGAGCCGGACAUGGAACAGAGGCCUGGGGAGCAGCCCUCAAGGGCCCAGAAGAAGAAGGUCGAGGCUCAGCCGGAGACCCUAAGUCAGACUGUCUCGGGCCGGGGUCGGGUGCUGCUAAUAAGAGAGUUCUUGAAGCAGGAAGAGAGCUACACAACCCUGCAGAACUUUCCGGGUCAGCCUCCGAAGGAUCCAAACGCUGAGCCCACCUGCAGCCAAGCAACAGACUGCCAACGUAGGUCCAGCAGUGCCAGGCGGGGACUCAAGCGUACCGGCGACUGCUUGGCAGACAGCCCCGAAGCCCCGGCCACCAAGUCCAAGUGCCUGGCGGAGAAGUCGGAGAGGGCGGAGAAGCCCGAGAAGCUGGAGAAGCAGCAGCUCUCGGAUCUCAAGGAAAAGGACUUGCCCGAUUACGAGGCGCCUCGAGCUCUACCCGAGGCCCCCAGCUCGGAGACGGCAGAGAUCGCCGAACUAGGCUCGGAGCCUGGCAAGCAGCUGCUCCUGGUGCUGUGCCACGCGUCGGCGCUGGGCACGCAGCUGCCUCGGCUGCAGCUGCUCCUGCAGCAGGUGCGCGUCCAGGACCGCCGCCCGCCAGCCGCGCUCGUAGGAAUCCUGGUGCAUCCGCGGCCGGAUGAGGAGGCAGAGUCGCGCCGCCGUCUGGAGGAACUGCUCUGCAGCGUCUUCGCCUCAGAGAACCCAGGGGUCGAGGUGCACACAGCAGUGUUCUGUCCCAGCCGCUCCCAGGGUGUCCUGGAUGUCCAGCGCGCUGCCAGUCAAGCGCACAUGGACACCCUAGUGGAUCGCCAGACCCAGACGGAUGAAAACCUUCAAGGAAACACUGUACUCCCCGUAACUCACGUACUUCAAGCUCUCGGAACUGUUGCUGUGGCUCUGGGGGCCCUGGGAGCUGCCUACUUCAUCGCUGAAUCCUUCUGAACUGGACCCCAGGCCAACGGUCCGGCAGUGUCCUCCAGCCUGUUCCACGUGGUUCUUUGGAAUGUGUGUGAUCUCUCCCACUCCUUACUUAUAACACACCGUCUCUGCAUGUGAGGAUGUCUUCAGUCACCUGUUUCACCUGAGCCCCCUUGAGCCCCAGAAGCAGAGCCGGAAACAAGGAUUGGGUGCACCUGAUACCUUGAGGAAGUACUCUCAGGAGAAGGCCGGGGAAAUACCACAGCACUUAAGAGCCUUGGCUUCCCUCUUCUUGGACUUGCUGGGAGUGAGGAGGUGUCUGUAGGAGAUAGCUGGUGGCUGUUGUGUCUUGUUAUCAUAUCAGCACGGUGUCUGAGAAGAUUCUGGCUUUGGAGUUAACCUGACAAUCUCUAGACUGUGCCGCCUGGACUCAGUGUGAGAAACAUGUUCUUAACUUCUC
Molecule: RNA transcript, 1401 nt
Organism: Peromyscus eremicus (cactus mouse)
Lineage: Eukaryota; Metazoa; Chordata; Mammalia; Rodentia; Cricetidae
Gene: Spata3
Gene name: spermatogenesis associated 3
Exons: 4
Source: RefSeq, a predicted model, not a curated record